UGGUGGGUUGCCUUGUCAGGUUGAUUCCGGUAACGAACGAGACCUCAGCCUGCUAAAUAGUCACGGCUACCUUGGUAGUCGCUUGACUUCUUAGAGGGACUAUUGGCGUUUAGCCAAUGGAAGUGUGAGGCAAUAACA
RNAcentral lists this ribosomal RNA (138 nucleotides) under uncultured eukaryote. Its description in RNAcentral is "partial 18S ribosomal RNA". It matches the Rfam family "Eukaryotic small subunit ribosomal RNA", at positions 1299 to 1458 of the family's 1831-position model. The record is from RNAcentral.